Molecule: unclassified non-coding RNA, 211 nt
Filed under: Hevea brasiliensis (rubber tree)
Lineage: Eukaryota; Viridiplantae; Streptophyta; Magnoliopsida; Malpighiales; Euphorbiaceae
Source: RNAcentral
GGGGAUCGGCGCGCCGGCGCUGAUCCAGUGCAGCAAGGGCCCGUUCAACAAGUUCCAGCUAUACCAGAUAUACGUCUGCGUCGCGGAGGACGCCAAGACGUUCGUGGAGUGCCCCAGCCCGAGGAAGCCGUACACCUGCGGCGACGACAUCCUCUUCCACCCUUUCAAGAAGUGGAUGCUCAAGACCAACUCCACCAAAUCCUACGCCGCC